ACACCUCAACUCUCAUGGUUUGCCAUGAUGAGCUUGGACUUUGGGGGUCUUGCUGGCCUUAUGGUCGGCUCCUCUUAAAUUAAUCAGCUUGCCAGUGUUUGGUGGCAUCACAGGUGUGAUAACUAUCUACGCUUGUGGUUUUCCAUCAGGUAACCUUCAGUGAUGGAGGUUUGCUGGGGCUCAUAAAGGUCUCUCCUCAGUGAGGACAGCUUUUUGAAC
RNAcentral lists this unclassified non-coding RNA (219 nucleotides) under uncultured Tomentella. RNAcentral's name for it is "sequence contains ITS2". Lineage: Eukaryota; Fungi; Basidiomycota; Agaricomycetes; Thelephorales; Thelephoraceae. The record is from RNAcentral.